Gallus gallus (chicken) is the source of this 895-nucleotide long non-coding RNA. NCBI's taxonomy places the organism in Eukaryota, Metazoa, Chordata, Aves, Galliformes, Phasianidae. The record is from Ensembl.
CCUAAUUAAGACAGUGGAAAAUUUUACUUUCUAUUCAUUAUUGCAAGUAGAGGGCAUUAAAAUAGCUGGUUGUUUAGAACCUUCUAUGUGAAGAGUUUUGGCCCUGAGUAGUCUGCCAAAUAAGAAGCAAAAGCAAGAGAGCAAUUAAUGGCAGAUUCUGCAAAUUGAAUGACUUCCAUCUUUGGCACAGAGACGCUGCAUAAGGGAACUCUAGCACUGUGUGUGUAGUGCUUUGAAGUCUGAUGUCCAUUACCAUUUUUACCAGUAACAUUCAUCCAGUUGUGCAGGGAGCUAAAAGGAAAGGACAACUGAAAGGACUGGAGCCAAACAUCUUCAAAGGUAACUGUUUGGGAGUAGGAGUGGUAUUCCGCACAUGAUACUUCUGUUUUCUAGAAAAUGGAUUCUGAAGCAGGGGAUGCUAUCAACACAUCUUAUAGAUUGAAGAAAACUUUCAGAUUUUUUUGUUUUGUUAAGAAGUGUCAAAAGUUGUUACUCAAGCCUUUGUGUGUUGGUUGAAGUCCUUGAAAAACCUCCCAGUGGUUCCUGAUGACAAUUUUUCACCAAGAGACAGUGGCUUCAAAUCCUGCUAAAAUGAAAAACAAAAAGAAACUUUAUAGUCCUACGGGUUUUUUGGUGGCAGCAUUUCUGCACCACUGAACUGACAGCUGAAAUCCUACCCCCUUCCCCCAGUGCCUGACGUCUGCCUUGGCAGCCAGAGGGAGGGCGAAGGGAGCAGUACAGAUGGGGAAAACCAAAACAUUUUGCAGUGUGACUACCCCAGCCAACGCUGUGUGUCGUGUCAACAAUCUGCAAGACCUGGCAGAUCUCUGUGGAGGUGGCUUUACUUCUUGUGACACGUCCAAGGAACCUGCACUGUGCUGGUCUGACGCCAAGC